AUUGAACGCUGGCGGCAGGCCUAACACAUGCAAGUCGAGCGGAUGAAGGGAGCUUGCUCCUGGAUUCAGCGGCGGACGGGUGAGUAAUGCCUAGGAAUCUGCCUGGUAGUGGGGGAUAACGUCCGGAAACGGGCGCUAAUACCGCAUACGUCCUGAGGGGGAAAGUGGGGGAUCUUCGGACCUCACGCUAUCAGAUGAGCCUAGGUCGGAUUAGCUAGUUGGUGGGGUAAAGGCCUACCAAGGCGACAAUCCGUAACUGGUCUGAGAGGAUGAUCAGUCACACUGGAACUGGGACACGGUCCAGACUCCUAAGGGAGGCAGCAGUGGGGAAUAUUGGACAAUGGGCGAAAGCCUGAUCCAGCCAUGCCGCGUGUGUGAAGAAGGUCUUCGGAUUGUAAAGCACUUUAAGUUGGGAGGAAGGGCAGUAAGUUAAUACCUUGCUGUUUUGACGUUACCAACAGAAUAAGCACCGGCUAACUUCGUG
Molecule: ribosomal RNA, 484 nt
Filed under: uncultured bacterium
Lineage: Bacteria
Description: partial 16S ribosomal RNA
Rfam family: Bacterial small subunit ribosomal RNA
Source: RNAcentral